RNAcentral lists this Y RNA (97 nucleotides) under Carlito syrichta (Philippine tarsier). RNAcentral describes it as "Y RNA (ENSTSYG00000020831.2)". It matches the Rfam family "Y RNA". From Rfam's summary of the family: Y RNAs are components of the Ro ribonucleoprotein particle (Ro RNP), in association with Ro60 and La proteins. The record is from Rfam by way of RNAcentral. Lineage: Eukaryota; Metazoa; Chordata; Mammalia; Primates; Tarsiidae.
GGCUGCUCCAAGUGCAAUGGUGUUUACAACUAAUUGGUCACAAUCAGUUGCAGGUUUGUUUCUUCUCCACUCCCACUGCUUCCCUUGACAGCCUAAA